AUUGAACGCUGGCGGCAUGCCUUACACAUGCAAGUCGAACGGUAACAGGUCUUCGGAUGCUGACGAGUGGCGAACGGGUGAGUAAUACAUCGGAACGUGCCCGAUCGUGGGGGAUAACGCAGCGAAAGCUGUGCUAAUACCGCAUACGAUCUACGGAUGAAAGCGGGGGAUCGCAAGACCUCGCGCGAUUGGAGCGGCCGAUAUCAGAUUAGCUAGUUGGUGGGGUAAAAGCUCACCAAGGCGACGAUCUGUAGCUGGUCUGAGAGGACGACCAGCCACACUGGAACUGAGACACGGUCCAGACUCCUACGGGAGGCAGCAGUGAGGAAUAUUGGGCAAUGGGCGAAAGCCUUACCCAGCAAUGCCGCGUGUAUGAAGAAGGUCUUCGGAUUGUAAAGUACUAUAUUGGGGAAGAACACAAUGACGGUACCCAAGAGAAAAAGCCCCGGCUAACUAUGUGCCAGCAGCGCGGUAAUCAUACUCG
RNAcentral lists this ribosomal RNA (484 nucleotides) under uncultured bacterium. RNAcentral describes it as "bacterial SSU rRNA". It matches the Rfam family "Bacterial small subunit ribosomal RNA", at positions 30 to 531 of the family's 1533-position model. The record is from RNAcentral.